This is a long non-coding RNA of Pyrus x bretschneideri (Chinese white pear), 1299 nucleotides long. RefSeq lists it as uncharacterized. NCBI's taxonomy places the organism in Eukaryota, Viridiplantae, Streptophyta, Magnoliopsida, Rosales, Rosaceae. The record is from RefSeq and is a predicted model, not a curated record. The transcript has 3 exons.
AAAAAUUUUGUGAAGUUUCAGAGAUAAGAGGAGAGGGGGUGGGUCUCGUUAAGGCGAACAGAGUUUAUUUCAAGAAAGCGAGCAAAAUAUUGUCUGAACUGUGCAAAUACAAGCCUGUCGUCGUUGUUGAUAGCUACUAAGUCUUGACGGUGACUUGUUUGUGAGUACGGUAUGCCUUUCUGAAUGGAGUAUGCUUUGUACAACAUUGCUUAUGUUUGUAAAAGGAUUUCACUCACUCCUUGAUUAUUGAUGGAUGUCGAUGUUAUUAAAGUCAUCAUAGCAUGUAUGUUUUGCUACUCCACUGAUGUUGUUUAUGCCUCUGCAGAGAAUCUGAUAUUUCAGAAGAAUGCACUGAACAGACGACAUGGCAUUAACGGCACUCUUUUCCGCUUCAUUAUUUCAUUUUCUGUGCUUCAAGAGUCAAGGCUAAAGUUCGGUCUUUCGGUGACAUGAUCCAAAUGUUGACUUUAAACUACGGUCUCACUCUAUUCUGAUGCUGCAGCUCAAGUGUUACUCCUAAUACAGGUGCCUUGCAUUCUGAGGCUACCACGGAGUUUUCCGCUUUUGCUGCUCCUGCAGAUGCAAAUGCCUGGUGAAUAUGUCUAAUCUAUACGAAAGUCUAAGCCUUAGAGGAAGUCUACCGUCGACUCUCAAACAGGCAGCAAGGAAAGGAGCAGUGGAGCACGAGAACUUUUGAGAGAAGGGGGAAGCUUCUCUUCUUAAAAGUCAAGUUAUUUUUGUUGUUUCAAGGUCUUUGUCCGCGUCUGUGUGUUUUCCACUAGCUGAUUAGUCAUUUCGUUUUAAAAUCUUAAGAAUUAGACGAGUGAAAGUGCUCCAUUGCGACGUGUGAUUCAUUUCAAAUGAUUACGAGUAUUUAUUUGUGCAUCCGAAAUAUCAGACUCACUUUAUGAACAAAAAUCUGAAGCCGUCAAUAUUAAUUACAGUAAUAAAAUAUUAAUUAGGGAGCCUAUUGUUUACUACUAAAAUGCAAUGCUUCCAGUACCAAACCACUAAUCAACCUUGCUUAAAUUUAAUCUAAUUGCUCCACUACAACUUUGGAAUAAUUUCCUUUUCAAAAGGAGAUCGUACCCGCUGCACCAGUAGACCAUACGUCAAAGUUCUUAAAUAUGAAAAAAUAGAAAAAAUAGUCACAACAUAAAAAACACAAAUAAAAGAGAUGCAUUAUUUUGAACAUAGUUAUACAAGGACCAAUAGAGUGAAAAACAAAUAUACGUACGUCUAGCCAAGCUGACUAGAGCAUUAUGUUUCUUCUCCCCCACUUCUUAUCCCCCUAUGCAU